GCGUAAAGAGCAUGCAGGCGGGUGAAUAAGUUGGAAGUGAAAUCCUAUAGCUUAACUAUAGAACUGCUUCCAAAACUGUUCACCUAGAGUAUGGGAGAGGUAGAUGGAAUUUCUGGUGUAGGGGUAAAAUCCGUAGAGAUCAGAAGGAAUACCGAUUGCGAAGGCGAUCUACUGGAACAUUACUGACGCUCAGAUGCGAAAGCGUGGGGAGCAAACAGGAUUAGAUACCCUGGUAGUCCACGCCCUAAACGAUGUACACUAGUUGUUGCUAUACUAGAUAUGGCAGUAAUGCAGUUAACACUUUAAGUGUACCGCCUGGGGAGUACGGUCGCAAGAUUAAAACUCAAAGGAAUAGACGGGGACCCGCACAAGCGGUGGAGCAUGUGGUUUAAUUCGACGAUACGCGAAAAACCUUACCUGGCCUUGACAUAGUAGGAAUCUUUAAGAGAUUAGAGAGUGCUAGCUUGCUAGAACCUACAUACAGGUGCUGCACGGCUGUCGUCAGC
Molecule: ribosomal RNA, 506 nt
Filed under: uncultured bacterium
Lineage: Bacteria
Description: bacterial SSU rRNA
Rfam family: Bacterial small subunit ribosomal RNA
Source: RNAcentral